Molecule: ribosomal RNA, 482 nt
Filed under: uncultured bacterium
Lineage: Bacteria
Description: partial 16S ribosomal RNA
Rfam family: Bacterial small subunit ribosomal RNA
Source: RNAcentral
AUUGAACGCUGGCGGCAUGCUUUACACAUGCAAGUCGAACGGUAACAGGCCGCAAGGUGCUGACGAGUGGCGAACGGGUGAGUAAUGCAUCGGAACGUGCCCAGUCGUGGGGGAUAACUACUCGAAAGAGUAGCUAAUACCGCAUACGAUCUAUGGAUGAAAGCGGGGGACCGUAAGGCCUCGCGCGAUUGGAGCGGCCGCUGUCAGAUUAGGUAGUUGGUGGGGUAAAGGCUCACCAAGCCAACGAUCUGUAGCUGGUCUGAGAGGACGACCAGCCACACUGGGAUUGAGACACGGCCCAGACUCCUACGGGAGGCAGCAGUGGGGAAUUUUGGACAAUGGGCGCAAGCCUGAUCCAGCAAUGCCGCGUGCAGGAAGAAGGCCUUCGGGUUGUAAACUGCUUUUGUACGGAACGAAACGGCUCUGGUUAAUACCCGGGGCUAAUGACGGUACCGUAAGAAUAAGCACCGGCUAACUACGUG